UAAUGUCUGGGAAACUGCCUGAUGGAGGGGGAUAACUACUGGAAACGGUAGCUAAUACCGCAUAACGUCGCAAGACCAAAGAGGGGGACCUUCGGGCCUCUUGCCAUCAGAUGUGCCCAGAUGGGAUUAGCUAGUAGGUGGGGUAAUGGCUCACCUAGGCGACGAUCCCUAGCUGGUCUGAGAGGAUGACCAGCCACACUGGAACUGAGACACGGUCCAGACUCCUACGGGAGGCAGCAGUGGGGAAUAUUGCACAAUGGGCGCAAGCCUGAUGCA
Molecule: ribosomal RNA, 276 nt
Filed under: uncultured Serratia sp.
Lineage: Bacteria; Pseudomonadati; Pseudomonadota; Gammaproteobacteria; Enterobacterales; Yersiniaceae
Description: partial 16S ribosomal RNA
Rfam family: Bacterial small subunit ribosomal RNA
Source: RNAcentral